GACAGAAAGACCCUAUGAACCUUUACUGUAGCUUGGAAUUGAGUUCGGGUUUAUUCUGCGCAGUAUAGGUGGGAGGCUAAGAAGAUAUAUUUGCGGAUAUAUUAGAGCCAGCAAUGAGAUACCACUCUUGAUAAACUAGAAUUCUAACUUUGAAUGUCAUAAGCUGGCCAAAAGACAGUUCCAGGUAGGCAGUUUGACUGGGGCGGUCGCCUCCUAAAAAGUAACGGAGGCGUGCAAAGGUUUCCUCAGGCUGGUCGGAAAUCAGUCGUAGAGUGUAAAGGCAUAAGGAAGCUUGACUGCAAGACCUACAAGUCGAGCAGAGACGAAAGUCGGCCUUAGUGAUCCGACAGUGCUGAGUGGAAAGGCUGUCGCUCAACGGAUAAAAGGUACUCUAGGGAUAACAGGCUGA
This 409-nucleotide ribosomal RNA is filed under the name Dawsoniolithon conicum. Its description in RNAcentral is "bacterial LSU rRNA". It matches the Rfam family "Bacterial large subunit ribosomal RNA", at positions 2079 to 2485 of the family's 2925-position model. Lineage: Eukaryota; Rhodophyta; Florideophyceae; Corallinales; Porolithaceae. The record is from RNAcentral.